CUAAGGACUAAUAUCUUCCUGUUCAACAUAAACCUCUGUUUAGGGCAGAGUUGAAAUCUGGAAAGGAGAGCAUUUAUAUCCCAACACUUUAAAUACCUAUUUAAGCUUCAAGGUGAAGAUAAGUGGGAGGAAUUACUUAAAGCUCAUUUAAACUGGACCCAUAUCUACUUAUUGUUCUCGUGUAAUUGUCUCAUUUAUUGUAAAAUCACCCCGCCCCUUCCUUCAUAAUAUUGUAAAGCACUGUGGAAUUAGUUGGCGCAAUAUAAAUAACUAAUAAUAAAGUAGACAGAUAUUGUGACAUGGGUCAGAGAAUUUGACGAUUUAGCAU
Molecule: non-coding RNA, 328 nt
Organism: Pelobates cultripes (western spadefoot toad)
Lineage: Eukaryota; Metazoa; Chordata; Amphibia; Anura; Pelobatidae
Source: the annotation of a GenBank genome assembly